Molecule: non-coding RNA, 330 nt
Organism: Cinara cedri
Lineage: Eukaryota; Metazoa; Arthropoda; Insecta; Hemiptera; Aphididae
Source: the annotation of a GenBank genome assembly
GAACCGCGCAACAAUAACAGUUCAUACACGUUCAACAGUUCAACAAAUAGUGGUUUUCGCAGUAUGUACUAACAAGUUCCGAGCGAGAUUCGAUGGUUAAUUCUACUCGUAUUUAAGCCGCGUAACAAACGCACGAUCGGAAACAUGAAAACUCGCACGUUCCAUUUUGUAACCGUUAUCAAAAUUUCCAUGUUCCGUACCUUAUUAUAGAGUCAAACCUCACUCUGUUCCACAUUUCAACCUUGAAAAAAAAAAUUGUUCACACGAUGAAACGGAAAUCUUAAUUUUCUCGACGGCAGUUUUGAGUUUAUUAGCCUAAAUCCAACGUGA